UACCAGCACCCCGAGUGGUCGGGACGAUUAUUGGGCCUAAAGCGUCCGUAGCCGGUUCUACAAGUCUUCCGUUAAAUCCACCUGCUUAACAGAUGGGCUGCGGAGGAUACUAUAGAGCUAGGAGGCGGGAGAGGCAAGCGGUACUUAGUGGGUAGGGGUAAAAUCCGUUGAUCCAUUGAAGACCACCAGUGGCGAAGGCGGCUUGCCAGAACGCACUCGACGGUGAGGGAUGAAAGCUGGGGGAGCAAACCGG
Molecule: ribosomal RNA, 253 nt
Filed under: uncultured bacterium
Lineage: Bacteria
Description: partial 16S ribosomal RNA
Rfam family: Archaeal small subunit ribosomal RNA
Source: RNAcentral